Molecule: ribosomal RNA, 468 nt
Filed under: uncultured bacterium
Lineage: Bacteria
Description: partial 16S ribosomal RNA
Rfam family: Bacterial small subunit ribosomal RNA
Source: RNAcentral
GACGAACGCUGGCGGCGUGCUUAACACAUGCAAGUCGAACGGUAAGGCUCUGCUCUUGUGGGGUGCGCGUGUGCCGCACGCGUGAGUGUCACGUGUGUAACCUCUCCUUUACUUCGGGGUAACUUCUGUGAACUCGAGUUCUUAUCGGGUAUGAGCUCCUUCUGCAUGGUUUUUGUUGGUGAGUUGCGCCGUUUCGGGAUGGACGUGCGGCUUAUCGUCUUGUUGGUGGGUUGGUGGAGUACCAAGGCUUGGACGCGUAGCCGGCUUGCGAGGGUGACAGGCCACAAUGGGACUGAGAUACGGGCCAGAGUCCUACGGGAGGCAGGAGUGGGGAAUAGUGCAAAAAGGGCGGAAGCCGGAUGGAGCAACGUCGGGUGCGGGAUGACGGCUUUCGGGGUGGAAACCGCGUGAGCCUGGGAAGAAGAGUGAGUGACGGUAAUGGGUAAAGAAGCACCGGCUAACUACGUG